AUUGAACGCUGGCGGCAUGCCUUACACAUGCAAGUCGAACGGCAGCACGGGUGCUUGCACCUGGUGGCGAGUGGCGAACGGGUGAGUAAUACAUCGGAACGUACCUUAUCGUGGGGGAUAACGCAGCGAAAGCUGUGCUAAUACCGCAUACGCCCUGAGGGGGAAAGCGGGGGAUCGAAAGACCUCGCGCGAUUAGAGCGGCCGAUGCCUGAUUAGCUUGUUGGUGGGGUAAAAGCCCACCAAGGCGACGAUCAGUAGCUGGUCUGAGAGGACGAUCAGCCACACUGGGACUGAGACACGGCCCAGACUCCUACGGGAGGCAGCAGUGGGGAAUUUUGGACAAUGGGGGCAACCCUGAUCCAGCAAUGCCGCGUGAGUGAAGAAGGCCUUCGGGUUGUAAAGCUCUUUUGUCAGGGAAGAAACGCUCUGGGCUAAUACCUCGGGGUAAUGACGGUACCUGAAGAAUAAGCACCGGCUAACUACGUGCCAGCAGCCGCAGUAA
This 502-nucleotide ribosomal RNA is filed under the name uncultured bacterium. RNAcentral's name for it is "partial 16S ribosomal RNA". It matches the Rfam family "Bacterial small subunit ribosomal RNA", at positions 30 to 523 of the family's 1533-position model. The record is from RNAcentral.